This 813-nucleotide ribosomal RNA is filed under the name Saccharomyces cerevisiae (brewer's yeast). RNAcentral describes it as "eukaryotic LSU rRNA". The stretch from base 364 to 517 matches the Rfam family "5.8S ribosomal RNA". The record is from RNAcentral. Lineage: Eukaryota; Fungi; Ascomycota; Saccharomycetes; Saccharomycetales; Saccharomycetaceae.
AAUAGGAAUUUAUAAUAUUUGAAAUGGAUUUUUUUGUUUUGGCAAGAGCAUGAGAGCUUUUACUGGGCAAGAAGACAAGAGAUGGAGAGUCCAGCCGGGCCUGCGCUUAAGUGCGCGGUCUUGCUAGGCUUGUAAGUUUCUUUCUUGCUAUUCCAAACGGUGAGAGAUUUCUGUGCUUUUGUUAUAGGACAAUUAAAACCGUUUCAAUACAACACACUGUGGAGUUUUCAUAUCUUUGCAACUUUUUCUUUGGGCAUUCGAGCAAUCGGGGCCCAGAGGUAACAAACACAAACAAUUUUAUUUAUUCAUUAAAUUUUUGUCAAAAACAAGAAUUUUCGUAACUGGAAAUUUUAAAAUAUUAAAAACUUUCAACAACGGAUCUCUUGGUUCUCGCAUCGAUGAAGAACGCAGCGAAAUGCGAUACGUAAUGUGAAUUGCAGAAUUCCGUGAAUCAUCGAAUCUUUGAACGCACAUUGCGCCCCUUGGUAUUCCAGGGGGCAUGCCUGUUUGAGCGUCAUUUCCUUCUCAAACAUUCUGUUUGGUAGUGAGUGAUACUCUUUGGAGUUAACUUGAAAUUGCUGGCCUUUUCAUUGGAUGUUUUUUUUCCAAAGAGAGGUUUCUCUGCGUGCUUGAGGUAUAAUGCAAGUACGGUCGUUUUAGGUUUUACCAACUGCGGCUAAUCUUUUUUAUACUGAGCGUAUUGGAACGUUAUCGAUAAGAAGAGAGCGUCUAGGCGAACAAUGUUCUUAAAGUUUGACCUCAAAUCAGGUAGGAGUACCCGCUGAACUUAAGCAUAUCAAUAGCCGGAGGAAA